Molecule: long non-coding RNA, 225 nt
Filed under: Elaeis guineensis (African oil palm)
Lineage: Eukaryota; Viridiplantae; Streptophyta; Magnoliopsida; Arecales; Arecaceae
Description: long non-coding RNA (EGUI_LNC015941)
Source: RNAcentral
GGGGCGGUCGGCGUAUCCGCUCGGGCCGAGGUAGCAUCGGGGGUCAGAGCCGCCUCGCCUUCGACAGCCUGGUCUGCGUCAGCCUCCUCCACGGCGGUGCGAUCUCCCGACGACGUGUCGGCCAUCUCUCCCGCAGCUUGGACCUCCGACUCUGGGGGGACGACGCUGCUGAGAUCGAGCUCCAGAUACAGGCUCUGGACCGCUUCCCGAGCAUCCUCGUACCCC